GGUAUGUGGCUUAAUGGUAGAGUGCUUGCCUAGCAUGCAUGAAGCCCUGGGUUCAAUUCCUCAGUACCA
RNAcentral lists this transfer RNA (69 nucleotides) under Dipodomys ordii (Ord's kangaroo rat). It matches the Rfam family "tRNA". From Rfam's summary of the family: Transfer RNA (tRNA) molecules are approximately 80 nucleotides in length. Lineage: Eukaryota; Metazoa; Chordata; Mammalia; Rodentia; Heteromyidae. The record is from Rfam by way of RNAcentral.